Molecule: transfer RNA, 73 nt
Filed under: Paramecium bursaria Chlorella virus CVB-1
Lineage: Varidnaviria; Bamfordvirae; Nucleocytoviricota; Megaviricetes; Algavirales; Phycodnaviridae
Description: tRNA-Arg
Rfam family: tRNA
About the family: Transfer RNA (tRNA) molecules are approximately 80 nucleotides in length. Their secondary structure includes four short double-helical elements and three loops (D, anti-codon, and T loops). Further hydrogen bonds mediate the characteristic L-shaped molecular structure. tRNAs have two regions of fundamental functional importance: the anti-codon, which is responsible for specific mRNA codon recognition, and the 3' end, to which the tRNAs corresponding amino acid is attached (by aminoacyl-tRNA synthetases). tRNAs cope with the degeneracy of the genetic code in two manners: having more than one tRNA (with a specific anti-codon) for a particular amino acid; and 'wobble' base-pairing, i.e. permitting non-standard base-pairing at the 3rd anti-codon position.
Source: RNAcentral
GGCCGCGUAGCUUAGUGGAAAAAGCGUCAGACUUCUAAUCUGAAGAUCGUGGUUUCGAAUACCACCGUGGUCG